Molecule: transfer RNA, 86 nt
Filed under: Bacilli bacterium
Lineage: Bacteria; Bacillati; Bacillota; Bacilli
Also listed under: 1 other name
Description: tRNA-Leu
Rfam family: tRNA
About the family: Transfer RNA (tRNA) molecules are approximately 80 nucleotides in length. Their secondary structure includes four short double-helical elements and three loops (D, anti-codon, and T loops).
Source: RNAcentral
GCCCGGAUGGCGGAAUGGUAGACGCGUUGGACUCAAAAUCCAAUGUAUGCAAGUACAUAAGGGUUCAAGUCCCUUUCUGGGCACCA